CAAUAGCGUAUAUUUAAGUUGUUGCAGUUAAAAAGCUCGUAGUUGGAUUUCGGAUGGGACUUGCCGGUCCGUCGUUUCGAUGUGCACUGGCCAGUCCUAUCUUGUUGUCGGGGACUAGCUCCUGGGCUUCACUGUCCGGGACUAGGAGCUGACGAGGUUACUUUGAGUAAAUUAGAGUGUUCAAAGCAAGCCUACGCUCUGAAUACAUUAGCAUGGAAUAACACGAUAGGACUCUGGCUUAUCUUGUUGGUCUGUGAGACCAGAGUAAUGAUUAAGAGGGACAGUCGGGGGCAUUCGUAUUUCAUUGUCAGAGGUGAAAUUCCUGGAUUUAUGAAAGACGAACUUCUGCGAAAGCAUUUGUCAAGGAUGUUUNCAUUA
This 378-nucleotide ribosomal RNA is filed under the name uncultured eukaryote. Its description in RNAcentral is "partial 18S ribosomal RNA". It matches the Rfam family "Eukaryotic small subunit ribosomal RNA", at positions 592 to 975 of the family's 1831-position model. The record is from RNAcentral.